RNAcentral lists this ribosomal RNA (378 nucleotides) under uncultured archaeon. RNAcentral's name for it is "bacterial SSU rRNA". It matches the Rfam family "Archaeal small subunit ribosomal RNA", at positions 691 to 1068 of the family's 1478-position model. The record is from RNAcentral.
CCGACGGUGAGGGGUGAAAGCUGGGGGAGCAAACCGGAUUAGAUACCCGGGUAGUCCCAGCCGUAAACGAUGUGCGUUAGGUGUAUCGGUGACCACGAGUCACCGAGGUGCCGAAGAGAAAUCGUGAAACGUACCGCCUGGGAAGUACGGUCGCAAGGCUGAAACUUAAAGGAAUUGGCGGGGGAGCACCACAACAGGUGGAGCCUGCGGUUUAAUCGGACUCAACGCCGGGAAACUCACCAGAUAAGACAGCUGAAUGAUAGUCGGGCUGAAGACUCUACUUGACUAGCUGAGAGGAGGUGCAUGGCCGUCGUCAGUUCGUACUGUGAAGCAUCCUGUUAAGUCAGGCAACGAGUGAGACCCACGCCAACAGUUGCU